Molecule: ribosomal RNA, 482 nt
Filed under: uncultured bacterium
Lineage: Bacteria
Description: partial 16S ribosomal RNA
Rfam family: Bacterial small subunit ribosomal RNA
Source: RNAcentral
AUUGAACGCUGGCGGCAUGCUUUACACAUGCAAGUCGAACGGUAACAGGCCGCAAGGUGCUGACGAGUGGCGAACGGGGGAGUAAUGCAUCGGAACGUGCCCAGUCGUGGGGGAUAACUACUCGAAAGAGUAGCUAAUACCGCAUACGAUCUAUGGAUGAAAGCGGGGGACCGUAAGGCCUCGCGCGAUUGGAGCGGCCGAUGUCAGAUUAGGUAGUUGGUGGGGUAAAGGCUCACCAAGCCAACGAUCUGUAGCUGGUCUGAGAGGACGACCAGCCACACUGGGACUGAGACACGGCCCAGACUCCUACGGGAGGCAGCAGUGGGGAAUUUUGGCCAAUGGGCGCAAGCCUGAUCCAGCAAUGCCGCGUGCAGGAAGAAGGCCUUCGGGUUGUAAACUGCUUUUGUACGGAACGAAACGGCUCUGGUUAAUACCCGGGGCUAAUGACGGUACCGUAAGAAUAAGCACCGGCUAACUACGUG